This 253-nucleotide ribosomal RNA is filed under the name uncultured bacterium. RNAcentral describes it as "partial 16S ribosomal RNA". It matches the Rfam family "Bacterial small subunit ribosomal RNA", at positions 524 to 776 of the family's 1533-position model. The record is from RNAcentral.
UACAGAGGUCUCAAGCGUUAUCCGGAAUCACUGGGCGUAAAGCGUGCGUAGGCGGAUGUUUAAGUGUGAUGUUAAAUCGUGUGGCUCAACCAUAUCGAUGCAUCGCAUACUGGGCAUCUAGAGGACGGCAGAGGCAAGUGGAACUCGUAGUGUAGCAGUGAAAUGCGUAGAUAUUACGAAGAACACCAAUGGCGAAGGCAGCUUGCUGGGCCGACCCUGACGCUGAGGUACGAAAGCGUGGGGAGCGAACAGG